UCUGUUUUUCCUUGUUUCAAUAAAUUUCAAUUGCACAUGUUACAUUCAGGUAUAGAUCAUAUUGUAACGUGUGCAAAGUAAAACAAUAUUUUUUGUUUUAUUAUUCACUUGUAUAAUAAAUUAUGAAAUUUGUACUUAAAAUGCAUUUGUACUUAUAAUUGACUUAUUUCAGAUUGACUAUUUUGUUCUUUUGAUGCCGACUGGAAAAACUAAGGAAACAAUACCUGUAGGAAAAUUACUAGCUAAAAUAUUCUCAAAUUCACUUGCAAGAAUUGUUAAUUAUUCAGGUUCUGGGUCUGUAAAAAUAAAACUCCAAGACACGAACAUUCUCACAGCUAUUCAAUGUGCUAUUGUUAAAAAGAUUCCGUCGUGUAAUAUUACACAUGUUCAAU
Linepithema humile (Argentine ant) is the source of this 392-nucleotide non-coding RNA. Lineage: Eukaryota; Metazoa; Arthropoda; Insecta; Hymenoptera; Formicidae. The record is from RefSeq and is a predicted model, not a curated record.